UCUCCCAUCUUCUCUCAACCUCCCAACCAAACUAACAAUCACCAGAAGAGAGAGUGGGCAGCGACUGUUCGGCGGCGGUAGAGAGAGAGCGCGGCGACUGUUCGAGCAAGGCGGCGCCGCCGCCACUACGGUGACGAUGAUGAUGAUACGCGAUAAAGAUGAUGAUACGAGAUGGCGAAGAUGGUGAUAUUGAAGAUGAUGAUGACUGUGGUUGACCGAUGACCAAUCCCCGACGGCGCCGGUAGUAGUGGUGAUGCGGGGGUUAUGGUUUUGAUGGAAGUAGUCUU
RNAcentral lists this long non-coding RNA (287 nucleotides) under Helianthus annuus (common sunflower). RNAcentral's name for it is "sRNA HanXRQr2_Chr16g0734651". The record is from RNAcentral. Lineage: Eukaryota; Viridiplantae; Streptophyta; Magnoliopsida; Asterales; Asteraceae.